CAGUGAAAUGCUUGGUAAGCAACAGGUGUAGACUAACAGUGAAAUGCUUGGUAAGCAACAGGUGUAGACUAACAGUGAAAUGCUUGGUAAACAACAGGUGUAGACUAACAGUGAAAUGCUUGGUAAACAACAGGUGUAGACUAACAGGGAAAUGCUUGGUAAACAACAGGUGUAGACUAACAGUGAAAUGCUUGGUAAACAACAGGUGUAGACUAACAGGGAAAUGCUUGGUAAACAACAGGUGUAGACUAACAGUGAAAUGCUUGGUAAACAACAGGUGUAGACUAACAGUGAAAUGCUUGGUAAACAACAGGUGUAGACUAACAGUGAAAUGCUUGGUAAACAACAGGUGUAGACUAACAGUGAAAUGCUUGGUAAGCAACAGGUGUAGACUAACAGUGAAAUGCUUGGUAAACAACAGGUGUAGACUAACAGUGAAAUGCUUGGUAAACAACAGGUGUAGACUAACAGGGAAAUGCUUGGUAAACAACAGGUGUAGACUAACAGUGAAAUGCUUGGUAAGCAACAGGUGUAGACUAACAGUGAAAUGCUUGGUAAACAACAGGUGUAGACUAACAGUGAAAUGCUUGGUAAACAACAGGUGUAGACUAACAGUGAAAUGCUUGGUAAACAACAGGUGUAGACUAACAGUGAAAUGCUUGGUAAACAACAGGUGUAGACUAACAGUGAAAUGCUUGGUAAACAACAGGUGUAGACUAACAGGGAAAUGCUUGGUAAACAACAGGUGUAGACUAACAGUGAAAUGCUUGGUAAACAACAGG
Oncorhynchus keta (chum salmon) is the source of this 782-nucleotide long non-coding RNA. RefSeq lists it as uncharacterized. The transcript has 3 exons. The record is from RefSeq and is a predicted model, not a curated record. Lineage: Eukaryota; Metazoa; Chordata; Actinopteri; Salmoniformes; Salmonidae.